GAAUCAAAACUUUCAACAACGGAUCUCUUGGUUCUGGCAUCGAUGAAGAACGCAGCGAAAUGCGAUAAGUAAUGUGAAUUGCAGAAUUCAGUGAAUCAUCGAAUCUUUGAACGCACAUUGCGCCCGCCAGUAUUCUGGCGGGCAUGCCUGUUCGAGCGUCAUU
This 163-nucleotide ribosomal RNA is filed under the name Pochonia chlamydosporia. Its description in RNAcentral is "5.8S ribosomal RNA". It matches the Rfam family "5.8S ribosomal RNA". From Rfam's summary of the family: 5.8S ribosomal RNA (5.8S rRNA) is a component of the large subunit of the eukaryotic ribosome. It is transcribed by RNA polymerase I as part of the 45S precursor that also contains 18S and 28S rRNA. The record is from RNAcentral. Lineage: Eukaryota; Fungi; Ascomycota; Sordariomycetes; Hypocreales; Clavicipitaceae.